GGAAGCGUCUAGGAACCCGGUGGGCCUCCCGGACUUCAAAUCCGGUGUCCGGCUCUAGACAAGCUGGAGGUGGGUUCGACUCCCACACGCUUCCGCCA
This 98-nucleotide transfer RNA is filed under the name Candidatus Rokubacteria bacterium 13_1_20CM_2_68_19. RNAcentral's name for it is "tRNA-Sec". It matches the Rfam family "Selenocysteine transfer RNA". RNAcentral also lists the same sequence under 18 other names. The record is from RNAcentral. Lineage: Bacteria; Candidatus Rokuibacteriota.